MicroRNA precursor from Oryza rufipogon (brownbeard rice), 207 nucleotides. It matches the Rfam family "MIR812 microRNA precursor family". The record is from Rfam. Lineage: Eukaryota; Viridiplantae; Streptophyta; Magnoliopsida; Poales; Poaceae.
AAAAAUACAAACCCUGGGUUUCCGUGUCCAACGUUUGACUUCCCGUCUUAUAUAAUUUUUUUUAUAAUUAGUAUUUUUAUUGUUGUUAGAUGAUAAAACAUGAUUAAUAUUUUAUGCGUGACUUGUCUUUUUAAUUUUUUUCCAUAUUUUUUUUAAAUAAGACGGAUGGUCAAACGUUAGACACGUAAAUUCAGGGUUUGUCUUUUU